UCUAGGUAAAUGGAUCUCGUCACAGGCAGCUCAUUAGAACCACCUGGGAGCUUUUGAAAAAUACUGAUGUGGAGGUCCCACCCCAGGUAUUAACAAGAGUCUACGUGGCAGAGACUUGGGCAUCUUGUCGUUUUGAAGUUCCUGAGGUGAUUCUGCCCUGCAGCCAGGAUGGAAAACCAGUGACCUCUCUAGAUCCUCGCAACUCAAGGUGCAUUCGAUAGAUGGCCAGUGUUGGUGUCACCUGGGAGGACGUUGGACGUGAAAAAAUCUCCAGGACUAGAAUCAGUGCUUCUCAAAAUGUAGCAUGCUUAUUAUGAAUUACCUGGAGGAUUUGGUGAAGCUGCAGAAGGGUGGAGCUUGCAAUCCCACCUUUCCUAAAAACUCCUGAGGACUCUUUCUAUGCUGCUAACCCAUGAACUAUACUUUAAAUAGCAAGACUGAGGAUAAUUUCUGAACUUCCUAGAAAAGGGGAACUGUAGCUUAUAACAGUGCUGUUAAAAUUGGAAUUUUCCAACUGAAGAGUGCAAUAACAUUUGGAUUCCCCUCUGCCUUCGAGGACAUUUGAGUUUUUAUUUUUUCCUGUUUGAACUUGAUACAUACUUCCUUUCCAGAUUUGCUUCUUUCUAUUCUUUCCAUUUUUUCCCCCUGCCUCAUGUUUGAGAGGGUGAUUUUUUUCCUGAUUCCUAAGCUGGUGGGAAUGGAUCGAUCUUGUCACAGUCAAAAUGGCAUAUGGGACAUGAGAACUCUGUCCAAAGACACAUGGUGAUUAAGAAAUGACUUCUUAGUGUCGCUGAAGCAAUAAUAUCUGGAUCAGAAUUUUAAGGACAGGAGAACAGGUGGGAUUGUGUUACAUGAAGGCAUAAGCUGGAGCCAUUCCGUGCACGCACUAUGCUGCAUCAGGCCUUGGAGGUGCCCAGGAGGGCCUCCUCCAGCUGGGAUCAGUCUUGUCUGGUUACCCCAGAGUGCUGGGCAAAUUUCAGUUCCUUUGUGUGCUGCGACGUGACAAAGGCAGGCAGGUCCUGCCCAAACGGGUUUACGUGAAAAGCUGGAAGUCCAGGAGCUCCCGGCUGUAUUGUCCAAGUCUUCCCAACAGACUUAAAGGCAUGGUGUAUGUAUCUGUGUUUGAAUGCUGAGGACAGCGUGUUGUUCUAGAAGCAGUGCCAAGACAGUGCGUCAAGGAGCCCUCAAACGGCGAGAGCUUACAGGCCAGACGCCCGUGUUCUCCAAAGCUAGAUACACGGUUAGGUCCUUUGGUAUCAGGAGAAAUGAAAAGAUUGUGUCCGCUGCACAGUCCGUGGGGCCAAGGCAGAAGAAAUCCUGGAAAAAGGUCUAAAGGUGCGAGAGUAUGACUUAAGAAAAAAUAACUUCUCUGAUACUGGAAACUUUGGCUUUGGGAUCCAGGAGCACAUCGAUCUGGGGAUCAAAUAUGACCCUAGCAUUGGUAUCUACGGCCUGGACUUCUACGUGGUGCUGGGGAGGCCAGGUUUCAGCAUCGCAGACAAGAAGCGCAGGACAGGCUGCACUGGGGCCAAACACAGAAUCAGCAAAGAGGAGGCCAUGUGCUGGUUCCAGCAGAAGUAUGAUGGGAUCAUCCUUCCUGGCAAAUAAAUUCCCGUUUCUAUCCAAAAGGCCAAUAAAAACUUUUCAGUGAAAUGUAAAUAAUAAAAAAACAACAACAA
Molecule: long non-coding RNA, 1679 nt
Organism: Mirounga angustirostris (Northern elephant seal)
Lineage: Eukaryota; Metazoa; Chordata; Mammalia; Carnivora; Phocidae
Exons: 3
Source: RefSeq, a predicted model, not a curated record